Rattus norvegicus (Norway rat) is the source of this 1708-nucleotide non-coding RNA. Lineage: Eukaryota; Metazoa; Chordata; Mammalia; Rodentia; Muridae. The record is from RefSeq and is a predicted model, not a curated record.
GGGACCCAGUUAUUCAGGGUCCCGAAGAGGCUUUCUACCUGUGGGCCAAAAUGGGGGUGAAGAGAAGAAGGAGACCAAGCAAAAGUUCUGUUGUCAAGGUCUCAUUUAUUGGGAUGAACAUUGCAGCUUUUAAGACUUUCAGGUAGGGGGAGUGACCUUUGUGAAAUAUGAAGGAGAGGGAGAUGAGGGUAUAGGCAGUGAUAGCUGGAGGCAAAGAAGUCAGGCGAUGAGGUCAGGUGGUGGAGACACUGGGUGUUGACUGAGGAGAUAACUGGUAUCUGCUCGAGCUGAGGCAUCCCUUGAAUGUUAUACUCCUGUGCCGUAAAUUCAUGGGAGAGGCUUUAUCCAACAAUCUUAAGAUUUAUGGCAGUCAUCUUCGGGGUGAGUCUCUGUGGCCAAACAGCCCAGAGUCACUUUGAACCAUGCAGUCAAAAAGCGGCUAGGCCCAAAUCCAAUAUGGCUCCGUGCAUCUCCCCCAUUUUUCUUUAAAAAAAAAAAAAACCAUUAGGUGGAAGUAGUGGUCUGAGAGAGAUCAGACAUGCCUCACAGAGUGCCCAGCUCGGCCAUGGCAAGCCACUCUUGCAGUUAGGACUGCACCCCAAUGGCUAGGAAUGAACUUAUGCUGUAACACACCGUUCUGGGCUAUACGUGUGUGUUAUUGGGGGAGAAACUGGGCAGAGGAGCAUUUGACCGGCCCGCACGUUUAAACGGGGUGUAGGCACCUCUGUCUUAGGAUCGACCUCUCAAACCCCAGCCUUAUCUGUCAUAGGAUCACCUUGUCGCCCCCAAGGUUCCUGUCUUAGAUUGGUCAAGGGUCAGAGGAAGUUGCCUGUCCCUGAGGAUAGCUACAUCAGGUCAUCUUCUCAUUCCUCUCACUUGAGCCCAGGGGCGAAAGAGCAAGGGCCAGAUGGCAUUAAUAUAAGAGAUUGUGGAAAUUGAGCCUCUCCCGAUAAGUUGUAGGCACCUCAUCUUGUUCGUUGUCUCUCUGGUUCUCCUCAGCUGUUCCGGUCUCCAAGUGAUGAUAAUGUACUGAAACAGAAUUUCUAGGCAAAGCAGAAUCUAUUUGUGAUUUAAUAAAGCGUGUAAGUCGUUGGAAGGCCCAAGGACCAAAGGAAAUCAACAAAAGUAGGCCCACAAGGGGUCCCAAAAUUGAGGGCAACAAGUUUAGGGAGCGAUCUCUGUGGGAUCCGGGACAGACAUAAAAGUCAGUUUCCCUAAUGUUGGUGCGUCGAUGGACAGUGUCACAACCGACAUAUCUUUCAUUAAAACUAGACCCAUGAGGGGCUUCAAUUAGGGGGGUGUUCCAAGGCGAAGUGGACUGUUCAAGGUGCCCUUGUAAUAAUUGUUCCUGCACCAACUGUAGGGCCGCUUGAACCUUUUCUUGAGGCAUGGACCACUGAUCGAUCCAGACUGGAUCAUUUGACUUCCAAGAUAUUUUAUCAGCCUGGAGUGCAGGAGGAACAGCGGUCUCUAUGAAAAAAGGUCAGGAGCUUUGAACUUUGGAGUGUAUCCUGUGUUUGACCUAUCCCUUUUAAAUGUGUGGCAGUAGCCUUAAGGGGCCAGGUUGAGGGCCAGUGUCUAGAGGAGAGCACUGUUGUAUCGCCCCUGUAUCUAAAAGGCCCUGAAAUUGUUUGCCAUCAAGCCAAAGAGACAUCAUGGGUCUUUCAUCAGUUAAUUUUUGCACCCAAUAAACAUCUGAAGAGCCAGG